UAAAAUAUGAUAGUGGGAAACGACUGCGACGUACGGCCAUCACAAAGGCCAGGAAGUAAUCCGGGAACAUCUCUGCAAUGAAUGCCACUAUUUAACUCCCGCCCAGAAAGUACCGCACGCUGCGAGGAAGUAGAAGAGGAACCCAGAGAAUCCUCCGGAAAGGCCGAUUGCCCAGAAGGUUAUAAGACAGAAGCUGAGGGAAAGGACGAUUAAUGCUGGGAUUGAGAUGAAAGAGCGAGCGAGAACGUAUGAAGAACGUCGAUAAGCAUUGUAAGCAGUUUCCCUCACGAAAAUAAAUCUUUCUUUGAUGAACUCUAUGGUUUCCGUUGUGCAGGUGAAGAAACCGGUGCUUAUGGAAAUUGCUAAGCAUCCUAAUCUACCUUGGGCUCCUCUUGGGGGAAUCAUCAAGCUGCCAAAACGUGGUGCCUAGCACAAGUCUGGUGAUGAUUAUCAUCGCUAACCGGAGUUUAUUACUAGCCUUUUGAGGGAGGGUGAAUCUACCAGGGAUGACCUAGAGAAGCGGUUGGCCCGACCCGACUCACACAAAAAUUUAAGGGUAAACUACUAUAAAGGUCAUUAAACUAUCAAUAAGUUUCCGUUUUGGUCAAUCAAUUUCAAAAAGUUAUAAAAUGGUCACUGAAUUAUUCGAAAGAUUUUAUUAAACUCACUAACCGGUUAGCGAGCUCUAAGUGAUGAUUCGACGAUCGAUAUGGGGGAUCAAUACCCAUCAACGAG
This 735-nucleotide long non-coding RNA is filed under the name Gossypium raimondii (Peruvian cotton). RNAcentral's name for it is "long non-coding RNA (GRAI_LNC004944)". The record is from RNAcentral. Lineage: Eukaryota; Viridiplantae; Streptophyta; Magnoliopsida; Malvales; Malvaceae.